GUGACAAGUUAAAACUGAAAGGAUUGAUGCUCCACUAACUCAGUCAAGUGAUAUACCAAGUAUAAUAUGAAAUAUGUAUUGACAUUUGAAUUGAACUUAAUUAGUGGCUAUGAGAUAUUAAGUUUAUAAUUUUAGGUUUGUGAAAUUGAUUUUAUACAAGUGUACUUAUUUAUUAAUUUAUGCUUAAUACAAUAUACUUUAAUUUAAUUUUCCUUUUUUGAAAAUCAAAAGAUAUUGGACUUCUACUUUUCUCUACUUUAGUAACUGCACUAUAAUUUCUCUUAACCUGGUAAAAUGAUUUUUAAAUAGCAUCUACAUCAAGAAAGAGAGGAAGAGGAUAAACGAUGGGUUAAGGUGUAACAUCUCUACUAUACGUAUUCUGUAUGUUCUGUUAC
Molecule: unclassified non-coding RNA, 395 nt
Filed under: Hevea brasiliensis (rubber tree)
Lineage: Eukaryota; Viridiplantae; Streptophyta; Magnoliopsida; Malpighiales; Euphorbiaceae
Source: RNAcentral